AGUGAACGCUGGCGGUAGGCCUAACACAUGCAAGUCGAACGGCAGCACAGUAAGAGCUUGCUCUUACGGGUGGCGAGUGGCGGACGGGUGAGGAAUCCAUCGGAAUCUACUUUUUCGUGGGGGAUAACGUAGGGAAACUUACGCUAAUACCGCAUACGACCUACGGGUGAAAGCAGGGGAUCUUCGGACCUUGCGCGACUGAAUGCGCCGAUGUCGGAUUAGCUAGUUGGCGGGGUAAAGGCCCACCAAGGCGACGAUCCGUAGCUGGUCUGAGAGGAUGAUCAGCCACACUGGAACUGAGACACGGUCCAGACUCCUACGGGAGGCAGCAGUGGGGAAUAUUGGACAAUGGGCGCAAGCCUGAUCCAGCCAUACCGCGUGGGUGAAGAAGGCCUUCGGGUUGUAAAGCCCUUUUGUUGGGAAAGAAAAGCAGCAGGUUAAUACCCCGCUGUUCUGACGGUACCCAAAGAAUAAACACCGGCUAACUUCGUG
Molecule: ribosomal RNA, 492 nt
Filed under: uncultured bacterium
Lineage: Bacteria
Description: partial 16S ribosomal RNA
Rfam family: Bacterial small subunit ribosomal RNA
Source: RNAcentral